Molecule: long non-coding RNA, 820 nt
Filed under: Anas platyrhynchos platyrhynchos (common mallard)
Lineage: Eukaryota; Metazoa; Chordata; Aves; Anseriformes; Anatidae
Description: lncRNA (ENSAPLG00000026733.1)
Source: RNAcentral
GAAUAGGAAAGAGUGAGAAGAACUUGUAAGAGCAUUGCUUUCUUCCUAGCUUACCUGCAGUUGAUACAAUAAAGGAUAUGUAAAGGUGAACAAGGACUCCAUUUCUUAAUCUAUUUUUUUAUAUCUUUAGGUCUUUAAUGCAUUACCUAAGGAGAAUUUAGGUAUUAUUUUCAUUGCACGUAGUCUGUAGGAGUGAACAAACUUCUCACAUUUAGCCCAAUGCUGGGUACAGCACUCAUGACAAGGUUGUAGCUGGAAAAUAUUACAGCUCCUCUUGUGGGAUUCUUGUGAGUCUUUUGUAGUGUUUUGGGGAGGACUGAAAACUUGUGUCUGCAAAGACGUGAACUCCAAAUUCAUGUGAAAAUGAGAGCAAAACAAAGCCAAAUCUUUACAAUCCAGAACAGUGAUCUUUUCUUAUCUCUAUAGCAAAAGAAGCCAGAAAUAAGAGGAGUACUUCUGUGGUACACAACAGUUGUAGUACCCUGGGACAAGAGAAAACUGUUCUCUUCAGUCUUGUCAGAAGAGGGUAUAAUGGACCUUGCUGCAACAAGCAUAGGAGCUCCAUAGAAGCUGCUGCUCCCCACCUCCGAGUUGACUGGGGCUGAACUACUGAAAAAGAAAAGAAAAGCUAUAAAUAAUAGUGAGAGAUGGUGAAUACCUAACCAUCUCUUAAAAGCAGGAAUUUAAGAGAAUAAGUAAUUGAUAAAUGGAGUUAAGAUCGAAAGGAAAAAAAUCCACUGUUGCAGUCAAUAGAGGUAAGAAGUUUUUCAAGUACAUUAGGAACAAAAAUUAGAGUAAUGACACAGAUCUGAUACGGGAU